RNAcentral lists this ribosomal RNA (468 nucleotides) under uncultured bacterium. RNAcentral describes it as "partial 16S ribosomal RNA". It matches the Rfam family "Bacterial small subunit ribosomal RNA", at positions 28 to 507 of the family's 1533-position model. The record is from RNAcentral.
GACGAACGCUGGCGGCGUGCUUAACACAUGCAAGUCGAACGGAAAGGCCCUGCUUUUGUGUGGUGCUCGAGUGGCGAACGGGUGAGUAACACGUGAGUAACCUGCCUUUGACUUUGGGAUAACUUCAGGAAACUGGGGCUAAUACCGGAUAGGAGCUCCUGCUGCAUGGUGGGGGUCGGAAAGUUUCGGCGGUUGGGGAUGGACUCGCGGCUUAUCAGCUUGUUGGUGGGGUAGUGGCUUACCAAGGCUUUGACGGGUAGCCGGCCUGAGAGGGUGACCGGCCACAUUGGGACUGAGAUACGGCCCAGACUCCUACGGGAGGCAGCAGUGGGGAAUAUUGCACAAUGGGCGGAAGCCUGAUGCAGCAACGCCGCGUGCGGGAUGACGGCCUUCGGGUUGUAAACCGCUGUCGCCUGUGACGAAGCGUGAGUGACGGUAAUGGGUAAAGAAGCACCGGCUAACUACGUG